UGGGGAAUAUUGGGCAAUGGGCGAAAGCCUGACCCAGCAACGCCGCGUGAAGGAAGAAGGUCUUCGGAUUGUAAACUUUUGUCUUAUGGGAAGAUAAUGACGGUACCAUAGGAGGAAGCCACGACUAACUACGUGCCAGCAGUCGCGGUAAUACGUAGGUGGCAAGCGUUAUCCGGAAUUAUUGGGUGUAAAGGGUGCGUAGGCGGGGUAUAAAGUCAGGUGUGAAAUUUGAGAGCUUAACUCUCAAACUGCAUUUGAAACUUAUACUCUUGAGUGAAGUAGGGGCAAGCGGAAUUCCCGGUGUAGCGGUGGAAUGCGUAGAUAUCGGGAGGAACACCAGUGGCGAAGGCGGCUUGCUGGGCUUUUACUGACGCUGAGGCACGAAAGUGUGGGGAGCAAACA
This 402-nucleotide ribosomal RNA is filed under the name uncultured Eubacteriales bacterium. RNAcentral describes it as "uncultured Clostridiales bacterium partial 16S ribosomal RNA". It matches the Rfam family "Bacterial small subunit ribosomal RNA", at positions 355 to 774 of the family's 1533-position model. The record is from RNAcentral. Lineage: Bacteria; Bacillati; Bacillota; Clostridia; Eubacteriales.